RNAcentral lists this ribosomal RNA (551 nucleotides) under Comamonas testosteroni. RNAcentral's name for it is "bacterial SSU rRNA". It matches the Rfam family "Bacterial small subunit ribosomal RNA", at positions 43 to 591 of the family's 1533-position model. Lineage: Bacteria; Pseudomonadati; Pseudomonadota; Betaproteobacteria; Burkholderiales; Comamonadaceae. The record is from RNAcentral.
CAUGCUUUACACAUGCAAGUCGAACGGUAACAGGUCUUCGGAUGCUGACGAGUGGCGAACGGGUGAGUAAUACAUCGGAACGUGCCUAGUAGUGGGGGAUAACUACUCGAAAGAGUAGCUAAUACCGCAUGAGAUCUACGGAUGAAAGCAGGGGACCUUCGGGCCUUGUGCUACUAGAGCGGCUGAUGGCAGAUUAGGUAGUUGGUGGGGUAAAGGCUUACCAAGCCUGCGAUCUGUAGCUGGUCUGAGAGGACGACCAGCCACACUGGGACUGAGACACGGCCCAGACUCCUACGGGAGGCAGCAGUGGGGAAUUUUGGACAAUGGGCGAAAGCCUGAUCCAGCAAUGCCGCGUGCAGGAUGAAGGCCCUCGGGUUGUAAACUGCUUUUGUACGGAACGAAAAGCCUGGGGCUAAUAUCCCCGGGUCAUGACGGUACCGUAAGAAUAAGCACCGGCUAACUACGUGCCAGCAGCCGCGGUAAUACGUAGGGUGCAAGCGUUAAUCGGAAUUACUGGGCGUAAAGCGUGCGCAGGCGGUUUUGUAAGACAG